Molecule: non-coding RNA, 105 nt
Organism: Python bivittatus (Burmese python)
Lineage: Eukaryota; Metazoa; Chordata; Lepidosauria; Squamata; Pythonidae
Source: RefSeq, a predicted model, not a curated record
GUGGCUUCCUGUGGGCGAGAUCGUGGUAGCAAGGAGGCGUUCGGUGAGGCUUGUGGUGUGUUUUGUGGGGUUUGGAAGGUGUUUGGUGUGCUGGUCAGCAUGUCU